AGCAAACCUGUCCAGGGAUUCUUAGCUCCUGAAAGAUUAUGAAAAGAAAUCAGAACAUUCAGGGAUUCUUCAAAAGAAAGAAAUCCAAAACAACAGAGCAGGACAGAGCAGCAGAAGCCAGCAGUGCUAGUCAGUCUGAGGAUGAGAGCCAGCUUGACUCUGCUAGGGAUGUACAGCAGGAGCCUCCAGCUUCAGCUGUACACAUGGACUCAGACAAGGAUACUGGUGAUGAAGGCCCUUCAUCUUCACUUGCACAUCAGGGUGUGUCAAGUCAGCCACUCUCUGACAAUGACACUGACACUGAGAACCAUCCAGCAGUACCUGCAGGCCAUGCAGUGACACGUGGGGAUGGUGAUGCAGCAGCCCUUGUGGCCCCACCUGGACCUCAUGAUAUUUCACAGUCAAGAGCAGCAGGUCCCUCUCAGCCUCGUUUAAAGGUUUUUCCAAGAACCCUCCAAGGUGAGAAGAGGAGGGCGUUCAAUCCAGUGUGGUUUA
Pseudoliparis swirei is the source of this 495-nucleotide long non-coding RNA. RefSeq lists it as uncharacterized. The record is from RefSeq and is a predicted model, not a curated record. The transcript is spliced from 5 exons. NCBI's taxonomy places the organism in Eukaryota, Metazoa, Chordata, Actinopteri, Perciformes, Liparidae.